This 551-nucleotide small RNA is filed under the name Pongo abelii (Sumatran orangutan). RNAcentral's name for it is "processed transcript". The record is from RNAcentral. Lineage: Eukaryota; Metazoa; Chordata; Mammalia; Primates; Hominidae.
GAUAACCCGUGCGUUUCGUAAGGCUCCGAGCACUUGUACAUUUCUGCAGCCGCGCGGCGAGCCAUUCGCGGCGGCUGCUGCAGCUCCUACUGCAUCUUCCUUCUCCUCCUUUCCUCGGGCUCCGGUCUCGGAGUCGGAGAGCGCGCCUCGCUUCCAGAGCCCCCGGACCCGGCGAGUCAGCGAUCGCCGAGCCGGCCACCAUGCCCGGCAGACCGCGCCACUAGGCGCUCCUCGCGGCUCCCACCCGGCGGCGGCGGCGGCGGCGGCGGCCGCGAUGGUUUCAGACGCUGAAGGAUUUUGCAUCUGAUCGCUCGGCGUUUCAAAGCCAAGUGUAGUUUCUGGCGGAUUUUCUUGCUGGGAAGCGUCUGGCUGGACUAUGUGGGCUCCGUGCUGGCUUGCCCUGCAAAUUGUGUCUGCAGCAAGACUGAGAUCAAUUGCCGGCGGCCGGACGAUGGGAACCUCUUCCCCCUCCUGGAAGGGCAGGAUUCAGGGAACAGCAAUGGGAACGCCAGCAUCAACAUCACGGACAUCUCAAGGAAUAUCACUUCCAU